GCUGAAUGUAAUUUGUAACUCGCGCAAACUUUAUAUACCUUUAGGAUACCCUCCCUCCACCACAUCAUAUGAGCUUUUCUCCAAAGGCAUUAUUAAAGCCAACGGAUCCUUUGAAUCCUUUCCUUCGUCAGUUGCUUCAUCGAAUAGAUCAUCAUACGUGACAGGCAUCCUUAUUCUAUCAUGAACAGAUGCACGUUUGGCUCCACUAUUAGACUGUUCAACAGGUUCUUGCUGCAGCAAAACAUCUGAACAACUGGCUGUAAUCUCGUCUCCUAUUGUCUGACUAGAUCUCUCCAAAGAAGCUUCUUUGUUUUGGAGGGGUUCUUGCUUGAGAUUAGCCUGCCUAAACUGCUUCUCAAACUCCUUCCCUUUCUUCAUUAUCUCUUUGUAUGCAUUUGGAUCUCGUACUUUAAGGAUGCUCCACAAUAUUCCACCACCUGUUCGGAAACGCCUGCCAUCAGCAGUCUUCUGGCCGCCACAAGUCUGAAUUGCAUCCACCAUGGGGUAAAACAACAAAGACAGGCAAAAACAUUGGAAUCAAUCCAAAU
This 548-nucleotide unclassified non-coding RNA is filed under the name Hevea brasiliensis (rubber tree). Lineage: Eukaryota; Viridiplantae; Streptophyta; Magnoliopsida; Malpighiales; Euphorbiaceae. The record is from RNAcentral.